Molecule: transfer RNA, 76 nt
Filed under: Promethearchaeota archaeon
Lineage: Archaea; Promethearchaeati; Promethearchaeota
Description: Candidatus Lokiarchaeota archaeon tRNA-Ser
Rfam family: tRNA
About the family: Transfer RNA (tRNA) molecules are approximately 80 nucleotides in length. Their secondary structure includes four short double-helical elements and three loops (D, anti-codon, and T loops).
Source: RNAcentral
UGGCUUAUCGUCUAACGGAGAGGACAACCCUUUUGAAAGGGGGGAGGUGCAGGUUCGAGUCCUGCUGAGCCUACCA